UUAAAUUGAAGAGUUUGAUCAUGGCUCAGAUUGAACGCUGGCGGCAGGCCUAACACAUGCAAGUCGAACGGUAACAGGAAACAGCUUGCUGUUUCGCUGACGAGUGGCGGACGGGUGAGUAAUGUCUGGGAAACUGCCUGAUGGAGGGGGAUAACUACUGGAAACGGUAGCU
This 172-nucleotide ribosomal RNA is filed under the name Escherichia coli. RNAcentral describes it as "partial 16S ribosomal RNA". It matches the Rfam family "Bacterial small subunit ribosomal RNA", at positions 1 to 164 of the family's 1533-position model. Lineage: Bacteria; Pseudomonadati; Pseudomonadota; Gammaproteobacteria; Enterobacterales; Enterobacteriaceae. The record is from RNAcentral. RNAcentral also lists the same sequence under 1 other name.